UACGAAGGUGGCAAGCGUUGUUCGGAUUUACUGGGCGUACAGGGCGCGUAGGCGGUUGGAUAAGCCCUCCGUGAAAUCUCCAGGCUUAACCUGGAAAGUGCAGAGGGGACUGUUCAGCUAGAGGAUGGGAGAGGAGCGCGGAAUUCCCGGUGUAGCGGUGAAAUGCGUAGAGAUCGGGAGGAAGGCCGGUGGCGAAGGCGGCGCUCUGGAACAUUUCUGACGCUGAGGCUCGAAAGCGUGGGGAGCAAACAGG
This 253-nucleotide ribosomal RNA is filed under the name uncultured bacterium. RNAcentral describes it as "partial 16S ribosomal RNA". It matches the Rfam family "Bacterial small subunit ribosomal RNA", at positions 524 to 776 of the family's 1533-position model. The record is from RNAcentral.